GUGAUACCUUCAUCCAAGUGUGUGGCGUGUGUGGCACCUGUUUGGAUAAAGCAAUAGCAUAAGAAACAUUAUGCCGGUUCAUUGAAAAAAACCAUGAGACCGUUCCAAUGCCGGUUCUGUAGCUCAAAUCAAACUCAAGAGUAGAAAUUGUCAGCUGACCAAAUAUGAAUCAUGGGCGAUAUGGUCCAUAUGGAUUAGUCGACAAGGUGGCGAUAUAUCAAAAGAAACAUUUGAUAGCAUUUUGAAUGAGUGAACCGAACAUAAGAAAUUGUCUCGUGUUUUGGAGGGCUUACAGUGAAGUGGUUUGUUACAUUGAAUUUUGAGUAUAAUAAGGAUCCAUAAUGCUUUUUGCACAUUUUCAUAGUCACAUCAUACAUUCUGGA
This is a long non-coding RNA of Papaver somniferum (opium poppy), 383 nucleotides long. RefSeq lists it as uncharacterized. NCBI's taxonomy places the organism in Eukaryota, Viridiplantae, Streptophyta, Magnoliopsida, Ranunculales, Papaveraceae. The transcript has 2 exons. The record is from RefSeq and is a predicted model, not a curated record.